Oncorhynchus keta (chum salmon) is the source of this 430-nucleotide long non-coding RNA. RefSeq lists it as uncharacterized. The record is from RefSeq and is a predicted model, not a curated record. NCBI's taxonomy places the organism in Eukaryota, Metazoa, Chordata, Actinopteri, Salmoniformes, Salmonidae. The transcript is spliced from 4 exons.
UACUAUCAGUCCUAUCAAAUACUAAGUAAUAUAAGGUAAGGCAGUUUGUAUAUUGCUACAGCCAAAGAGUAGACAGACAGGUUAGGUCUAUAGACCAGCCAGAGAGUAGACACAGGUUAGGUCUAUAGACCGGCCAGACAGUAGACAGACAGGUUAGGUCUAUAGACCGGCCAGAGAGUAGACAGACAGGUUAGGUCUAUAGACCGGCCAGACAGUAGACAGACAGGUUAGGUCAAUAGACCAGCCAGACAGUAGACAGACAGGUUAGGUCAAUAGACCAGCCAGACAGUAGACAGACAGGUUAGGUCUAUAGACCAGCCAGAGAGUAGACAGACAGGUUCGGGCUCUGAUCAGCCACCACCAGGCUGGGCUCCCCUCUCAGCAGAGUGGGACACACCCAGUUCACCUUGUCCCCAUGGCUGAAGCUGAG